Setaria italica (foxtail millet) is the source of this 6477-nucleotide RNA transcript. It is a transcript of the gene named probable serine/threonine-protein kinase vps15, with no coding region annotated. The record is from RefSeq and is a predicted model, not a curated record. The transcript has 16 exons. NCBI's taxonomy places the organism in Eukaryota, Viridiplantae, Streptophyta, Magnoliopsida, Poales, Poaceae.
CACACCAGAGACCGCACAGAUUAGAGUACCCGAUCGAUCGCCUACGCCCCACGCAACGCCACGACGCACCCACGAAAGCGAGAACGCGAAGCGAAGCAAACCCCAGACGCCGGCGAGCCGCGCCCACCCUGACGGCGGCGGGGUAGGAGAGGGGGUCGCCUGCGGCGGCCGCGAUGGGGAAUAAGAUCGCGCGGACGACGCAGGCGUCGGCGACGGAGUACUACCUCCACGACCUGCCGUCCACCUACAACCUCGUGCUCCUCGAUGUCGUCAGCCGCGACCGCUUCCUCAAGUCCGUCCGCUGCAAGCACGACGAGGGGCUGCUCCUCGUCAAGGUCUACUUCAAGCGCGCCGGCGAGCCCAUCGACCUCAAGGAGCACGAGCGGAGGCUGGAGCGGAUUAGGAACACGUUCAAGGGGAUCGAGGGUUCCCACGUAUGGCCCUUCCAGGUUUGGUUGCAAACAGAUAAAGCGGCAUAUCUUUUGAGACAGUAUUUCUUCAACAACCUGCACGACCGACUGAGUACACGCCCUUUCCUCAGUCAGAUAGCGAAGAAAUGGCUUGCUUUUCAGAGAUGGUUGCCGACUUAGAUCAUUUGGUUGUGCAGUUAAUCCAUGCAGUGGAGCAGAGCCAUAGUAAAGGAGUUUGCCAUGGUGACAUAAAAUGUGAGAACGUGCUCGUUACUUCUUGGAAUUGGCUAUAUCUUGCGGACUUCGCGUCUUUCAAGCCAACUUACAUCCCAUAUGAUGAUCCAUCUGAUUAUUCAUUCUACUUCGACACUGGAGGAAGGCGAAGAUGCUAUCUAGCACCUGAAAGAUUCUACGAACAUGGUGGGGAGUCCCAAGUUGCAGCUGAUGCACCCCUGCAACCAUCAAUGGAUAUAUUUUCUCUUGGGUGCGUUCUUGCUGAACUUUUCCUUGACGGCGUGGCACUUUUUGAGUUUUCAAACCUUCUGUCUUAUCGGCGUGGUCAAUAUGACCCGAUGCUUCUUCUACACAAGAUACAAGAUACUGGUAUUCGUGACAUGAUACUUCACAUGAUCCAGUUGGACCCCCAAAAAAGGCUACCGUGUCGAAGCUAUCUACAAAAAUACGAAUCUGUUGUGUUCCCAGUUUAUUUUUCAAACUUUCUGCACAAGUUCUUCUCGGAUAUUGUUCCACUUGACUCAGAUGCCAGGGUUGAGAAGACUCAAGACAAUUUUGAAAAGAUACUUGAAAUAAUGAUGGACAGCUCAACGAUUGAACAGAUCGGGAGAUGUACAUUGUCUGAGCAUAGUGAACCAUCUGGGAGAAAAGGCACAGGAGGGCAAAAUUUAAACUCGCCAGGAGAUUCUAAAAAGAGCACAUCAGUUAAGAAAAAUGCUCUUGUAGACCAUCAACAGAUUGCUGGAGAUAUCAAUUUCCUCCUCAAAGAAGUGGAGAACAGGAGCAACAGCACAAGCACAAAGAUAACAAAAGACAUGGACCAGGACCAUAUUCGGUCCUCACAGCUGGUUAAUCCAGCAGGAAGGGGAACAGGAAGUGGUUUGACGACCCGGAACAAUGUUGUAUCCCAUGUGCAGAAGAUCUCAAAGAGUAAUUUAUGUUCCUUGGUAGCUGGUUAUGAUGGCCAAUCAGAUACCUAUAGCUUUGACAUUUUUCAACAGAUAGACUCCAAGGAGAGCUGUGAAGGCAUGGUCUUGCUUGCCUCAUUACUCUGCUCAUGCAUACGCAGUGUGAAAAAACCUGAGCUAAGAAGGGCCAGUCUCAUUCUUCUGAAGUUUUCGUCCACAUACAUAGAUGAUGACAAUCGCUUACAGCUAGUGGUUCCCUAUGUGAUUGCGAUGCUUUCAGAUCCGGCUGCCAUUGUCCGCUGCGCUGCUUUGGAAACCUUAUGUGAUGUCCUCUGUCUUGUGCAAGACUUCCCUAUCAGUGAUGCUGUUAUAUUCCCUGAGUACAUCCUCCCAAUGCUCUCUUUGCUUCCUGAUGAUACAGAGGAGAGUGUUAGAGUUUGCUAUGCUAGCAAUAUUCAUAAGCUGGCUUUAACAGCUUAUAGGUUCCUACUUCGUUCUCGUAGCAUAGCCGAUAUUGGACCUCUGGAUGAAUCAGUGAUAGCUCCCAGAUCACAGUCUGCAGAUUCACCAGCAAAGAAGCAAGAUCAAUUUUAUGCCCAGCUUGCAGAACUGAGGAAAAAUAUUUAUGAAAUAGUGCAAGAUUUGGCUAUGGGACAAAAGCAGACACCUAAUGUCCGCAGAGCUCUUCUGCAGGAUAUAGGUUAUUUGUGUUACUUCUUUGGGCACAAGCAAAGUAAUGAUUUUCUUCUUCCUAUACUUCCGGCAUUUCUAAAUGACCAUGACGAGCAGCUCCGUGCAGUUUUCUUUGGCCAGAUUGUCUUUGUUUGCUAUUUCAUUGGUUCAAGGAGCGUUGAGGAAUAUCUUUUGCCAUAUCUUGAACAGGCGCUAAGUGAUGGUAUGGAGGCUGUCCUUGUAAAUGCACUUGAUUGCUUGACCAUGAUGUGCAAAAGUGGUUAUUUGAGGAAAAGAGUAAUUGUUAGUCUAUUGGGAAAGGUUCUCCCCCUGCUUCGGUAUCCAAUCAAUUGGGUUAAACGGUCUGCUGUAAGAUUUGUUGCUGCUUGCAGUGAGAGCCUAGGGGCUGUAGAUACUUAUGUGUACCUUUCUCCUCAUCUAAGGCAGUUCCUACACAGGGAGCCACCUUCAUUGUCCUCUGAACCUGCUCUUCUUUCAUGCCUUAAGCCUCCACUGCCAAAAUCGAUCUUCUACCAAGCUUUAGAGGAUGCUCAGGACAUGGGAGACAUUUUACUGAAGGGUGGUGGCAAGAAAGAACUGACAGUACUUGGUGGAAGAUACCCUGGUAUAGCGCAAAGUGGAUCCUCAAUCAAUCUUGAAGAUGUUGCGCGAUUGAAAGGCCCUAAUAUUUCCAGCAACAUGCCUUUUGAUGUCAAAGAUUCAGUUUCUUCUGACAAAUCAUUAUAUUCUGGUUUUGCACUACAUGCAUCUGCUGGGAAUAGUUCCUUUUAUGACGGCUUAUCUAAAGGAAUACCAUCGUAUUCUGUUUGUACCGAUAAGCGAGGUUUAGGAGAAACACAGCCGCUCCCUGAUUCUUCAGUGUAUAAAGCAUCAAUAAGGCUACCUUGGUUGGAACCCAACCGCCCAGGCGUGCAUACUAGAGAUGAUUAUUUCAGUAGCAAGCGGCGAGAGUUAAGCAUAAAUGAUUCUAUCAAGAGCAGUUCCUCUUUGCAAGGGGAUAGCAUUCCAAACUCUGAUACUGGAGGAUUGCCGUCCUUCUCCAGAUCAGCAGUGAACUUGGAGACUGGAUGGAAGCCUCGUGGAAUACUAGUGGCACAUCUCCAGGAGCAUCGCUUGUCUGUCAAUGAUAUCGCCGUGUCAAAUGAUAAUACCUUUUUUGUGACUGCUUCUGACGACUCAAGUAUCAAGAUAUGGGAUACAAGAAAGUUGGAAAAGGACAUUGCCUUCAGAUCCAGGUUAACGUACAGCAUGGGUACUAGCCGAGCUCUUUGUACGACAAUGGUUCGUGGUACUUCACAGGUGGCUGUCGGUGCAAGCGAUGGAACACUGCACUUGUUUUCUGUUGAUUGUGCACGCGGCGUUGGGAGUGUUGUGGAAAGGUAUUCUGGAAUUGUUGAUGUAAAAAGGAAUGAUAUUAAAGAAGGUGCAAUUCUAAGUGCUGUAAAUUGUUCAAGCGACAGCUUUAGCCCAACUGUCCUUUUCAGCACUGAACAUUGUGGCAUCCAUAAAUGGGAUACAAGGACCAACUCAGAAUCUUGGUCAUUUAAAUCCUCACCGGAGGAGGGCUAUAUAUCCGCACUUGUUGUUGGCCAGUGUGGAAAUUGGUUCAUCUCAGGUUCUUCAAGAGGUGCCCUUACCCUGUGGGAUAAUAGGUUUUUGCUGCCUGUUAACUCGUGGUACUAUUCAACAGUAAGCCCUAUAGAGAAAUUGUGCUUGCUCAUACCUCCACCAAGUUCAAUAUCUUCUGCUGGAAGGCCAUUGGUUUUUGUUGCUGCCGGCUGCAACGAAGUUUCCCUAUGGAAUGCUGAGAAUGGAAGCUGCCACCAGGUGUUUAGAACGGCAAGCACUGAGAAUGAAGCUGUGAUGCCAAAGACACCAUCAAGACCUCUUAACAAGUCAACUACCAAAGAUGUAAGACGACCAGGCAAUUAUAAGUACAGAAUUGAUGAAUUGAACGACCCACCUGUACGCCAUCCAGGCAUACGCUCUCUGCUUCCCUUACCCGGCGGUGAUCUAUUGACUGGAGGAACAGACUUGAAAAUUCGUUAUUGGGAUCAAGCCAGACCUGAGCAAAGCUUCUGUAUCGCUGGUCCCUCGGCCAAAGAAGUCCGUUCGGCAAAAGGAGAUAUUUUGGAGAAAGCAGUUGGAAACAAUGAGUGUUAUGAUAUAAGAUCCAGUUUUGGAGUACAAGUCGUUCAGGAAAUGUACAAGCAAACAACCACGGUGUCCGGUUUGACACCCAAGACACAGCUCGCUUUGGCUGCUGCAGACUCCGCUGGGUGCCACCGUGAUACUAUACUUGCAUUGGCAUCCUUCAACUUGUCAAGCCAGAGGUUGAUAUCAGCCAGCAGAGAUGGUGCCGUAAAAGUGUGGAAAUAGCUGCUCCAGCGGCCACAUCCCACAUGCAGCCAGGCAAGGGCAAAUCUUCCGUUGACCGGGCCCUUUUUCCCUUUGACUGCCUCAGGCCCAUGAAAGGCAGUGCUGCAUGUGGUCCCAGGAAAUUUUGGAGGUGUGGGUCCUAGCUGAUAAAGAGAGGUAAAGGGAAUGAUGAGGUCAUGGUCCCACCUCUUUUGCACAUCGGUGUAACUGUUCAUUUGUCAUAUUCAGCAUGUGUUAAUGGUCGGAUCAGUUCAGGAACAUUACUUGGACAGAUUUUGCAUAAUUAUAUUCGACUGUACUGUACCGUGCAAUAGGAAUUCCCUAGGGGCCUGUUUGUUAGGAUGGAAUUGGCUGGAAUUGGAAUUAAUUUCCAAAGUCAUCUUGUUUGGUUGCUCCCGGAAUUGGAAAGAGGGAUUCCUCAGGAUUCCAACUCUAUCUACCGCACAUUCCGACCCUAAAAAGAGGAAAUCGUUUCCUCGGUCCCGAGUCCCGACCGCGACUAUUCCUCUUUCCCCCCGCGCGCGCCGCCCCGACUCCUUCCCCUUGCGCCGCCGCCCACUUCCUCCGCCGCCCCCUCCUCCACUUCUCCGCCGCCCCCUCCUCCACUUCCUCCAUCGGCCCCCUCCUCCGCUGCCCCCUCCUCCGUCGACCCCCUCCAGAGCCGGCACAGAGUGCGCCGCCCGUGCACAGAGUGCGCCGCCCGUGCCGCUCCUCCGCGCGAGCAGCUUCUCGCCGGCGACCACACGCCACGCGAGGCUGUAGACAGAUCUGAGGGAAGGGAAGCAUAGGGACGGGAGGAGGAGGAGCUCGGCAGCUAUCCAUUUUACUCACUGGAAGAUCGACGUGCAUCACCAAUACUCCUGCCUUGCUACUGGUUAAGGCGUUGCUGGGCGGCUUCAAGAAGGGUGCAAGGAACUGAUAUGCUGAGGCAUUGAUACAUUAUGCCUGACAACAACAUAGACUUGGUUAAUACAAGCAUGGAGCAAAUGAGAGAGAUGAGUAGGAAAAAGAGAAAAAGGGUGGCUGCUUUAUUUGUUUCUGCUGUCAUGAGCAUGAUUGUGCACUGGUAUCAGCGUAAGAGACCUAGACAUAUUGUUGAUCCGAAUGAAGUGGUUGAGAGAGAUGUAGCUACACGCAAACAAAUGCUAAGAAAUCUGUACCAAGGAUCAAAUGUCUAUUGCUAUGAUAGUUUGCGCCUAACUAAGAGAUCAUUUUAUGACCUAUGUGCCAUCUUACGUGAGAGAUGUGGUAUGUGUGAUAACAAGAAUGUGUCGGUAGAAGAAAAGGUAGCAAUCUUUUUGCUUGUAGUGGGUCAUGGCACUAAGAUGAGGAUGAUUUGUAGCUCAUAUGGAUGGUCACUUGAGCCAAUCUGCCGUCACUUCAAUGAGGUGCUUAGAGGUAUUCUAUCAUUAUGCCAUGAAUUUAUCAAGCUUCCUGAUCCAUCAGCUGUACAACCUGAGGAUUCCAAGUGGAAGUGGUUUGAAGAUUGCCUUGGAGCAUUAGAUGGUACACACAUUGACGUUUUUGUGCCUUUAGCUGACCAAGGGAGGUAUAGGAAUAGGAAGCAACAGAUUACCACCAAUGUUUUAGGGGUUUGUGAUCGUCACAUGAAAUUUGUUUACGUCUUAGCGGGAUGGGAAGGAUCAGCUUCAGAUUCACGUGUGCUACGUGAUGCAAUGUCUCGGGACGAUGCAUUUGUUAUUCCAAGUGGGAAAUACUAUCUAGUAGAUGCGGGAUACACCAAUGGACCGGGCUUUCUUGCUCCAUAUCGAUCCACUCGCUACCACUUGAAUGAGUGGGCUGCUCAAGGGCAUAACCCAUCCACUGCCAAAGAACUAUUCAAUUUGCGCCAU